This 73-nucleotide transfer RNA is filed under the name Stegodyphus mimosarum. It matches the Rfam family "tRNA". From Rfam's summary of the family: Transfer RNA (tRNA) molecules are approximately 80 nucleotides in length. Their secondary structure includes four short double-helical elements and three loops (D, anti-codon, and T loops). The record is from Rfam by way of RNAcentral. Lineage: Eukaryota; Metazoa; Arthropoda; Arachnida; Araneae; Eresidae.
GCCUUCGUGACGUAGUGAUUAGCGCGCUCGACGCGUAUUCGAGAGGUCCGUGGUUCGAGUCCCGGCGAGGACA